CUACGGAGGGUGCAAGCGUUGUCCGGAUUUAUUGGGUUUAAAGGGUGCGUAGGUGGUUUUUUAAGUCAGUGGUGAAAGCCUACAGCUUAACUGUAGAGGUGCCAUUGAUACUGGGGAACUUGAGUAUGGACGAGGUAGGCGGAAUUUGUGGUGUAGCGGUGAAAUGCAUAGAUACCACAAGGAACACCGAUAGCGAAGGCAGCUUACUGGGCCAUAACUGACACUGAGGCACGAAAGCGUGGGGAGCGAACAGGAUUAGAAACCCGGGUAGUCC
This 274-nucleotide ribosomal RNA is filed under the name uncultured bacterium. Its description in RNAcentral is "partial 16S ribosomal RNA". It matches the Rfam family "Bacterial small subunit ribosomal RNA", at positions 523 to 796 of the family's 1533-position model. The record is from RNAcentral.